CAGCCGCCGCGGUAAUACGUAGGGUGCAAGCGUUAAUCGGAAUUACUGGGCGUAAAGCGUGCGUAGGCGGCUUUUUAAGUCGGAUGUGAAAUCCCUGAGCUUAACUUAGGAAUUGCAUUCGAUACUGGGAAGCUAGAGUAUGGGAGAGGAUGGUAGAAUUCCAGGUGUAGCGGUGAAAUGCGUAGAGAUCUGGAGGAAUACCGAUGGCGAAGGCAGCCAUCUGGCCUAAUACUGACGCUGAGGUACGAAAGCAUGGGGAGCAAACAGGAUUAGAUACCCGCGUAGUCCCUGUCUCUUAUAC
RNAcentral lists this ribosomal RNA (301 nucleotides) under uncultured bacterium. RNAcentral's name for it is "partial 16S ribosomal RNA". It matches the Rfam family "Bacterial small subunit ribosomal RNA", at positions 509 to 807 of the family's 1533-position model. The record is from RNAcentral.